GGUCCACCACUGGGUUGGAUUGAGUAGUCCAAAUGGGUUUAAAUCAUUUUGAUUAUCACUAGCCCAAGAUCAACAACGACACCACCACAUAGGUCUUGUCCCUGCAUGUGUUCACCUAGAUUCGUGAUUGAGUCGUCGUGCAAGCACCGAUGCUGGUGAGGUCGUGGUCAUCGUCGUGCAUGCUAGAUAGGGGGCGGCGAAAAUAGAGGCGAGAAGAAGCACCCAUUCUAGUUACCCAACUCUGGCGGUGUCACAAUGGAGUAUAUGAGAGCUUGGAAGGCCCAGUCCAUGAGGGGGUAUUCUUGAGCCUGUCAAUGAUGUAGAUGCACGGUUUGUCAAUGACUGAGGGAAAGGAUGAGGUACUUGAGCACGAUGUGGGUAGGUAAGGAGCGGAUGGCAUGGAUGUUGAGGGUCUUUACAUGGAUGUGGGAGCCACACCGGGGUCUGUGAACCAAACGGGGCCUAAAUAAAACAGUAAAAGUUAUGUACAGGUAUGAGCAGAGUUAGAGAGUAAAUCAGAGGAGAUAAGCUUAUUUUGUAGGUGUAUAAAUUUUUAGAAGACAAUGUACAUUGUGACUUUGUGGGAAAAUUUAACAUAAUCAUUUUUUUUGUUCGUUUGGCUGAUAAACCAUAACAGAAAGAAUUGUUGACUGAUUUAUUGUAAGAGAAAAAAUACUGUUGCAUAACUGAUAGGUUCAAGCGAACAAUACGAACGUAUUCUAGUUGGUU
RNAcentral lists this long non-coding RNA (729 nucleotides) under Sorghum bicolor (sorghum). RNAcentral describes it as "long non-coding RNA (SBIC_LNC013392)". Lineage: Eukaryota; Viridiplantae; Streptophyta; Magnoliopsida; Poales; Poaceae. The record is from RNAcentral.